This 253-nucleotide ribosomal RNA is filed under the name uncultured bacterium. RNAcentral describes it as "partial 16S ribosomal RNA". It matches the Rfam family "Bacterial small subunit ribosomal RNA", at positions 524 to 776 of the family's 1533-position model. The record is from RNAcentral.
GACGAGGGAUCCAAGCGUUGUUCGGAAUCAUUGGGCGUAAAGCGGGAGUGGGUUGUCGGAUGUGUCAGGAGUGAAAGCCCUGGGCUUAACCCAGGAAGUGCUUUUGAAACUAUUCGACUUGAGUGCCGGAGAGGUCGCUGGAAUACCUGGUGUAGUGGUGAAAUACGUAGAUAUCAGGUGGAACCCCGGAGGGGAAGCCGGGUGACUGGCCGGACACUGACACUCAGUCCCGAAAGCGUGGGGAUCAAACAGG